RNAcentral lists this ribosomal RNA (274 nucleotides) under uncultured bacterium. Its description in RNAcentral is "partial 16S ribosomal RNA". It matches the Rfam family "Bacterial small subunit ribosomal RNA", at positions 523 to 796 of the family's 1533-position model. The record is from RNAcentral.
AUACAGAGGGUGCAAGCGUUAAUCGGAAUUACUGGGCGUAAAGCGCGCGUAGGUGGUUUGUUAAGUUGGAUGUGAAAGCCCCGGGCUCAACCUGGGAACUGCAUCCAAAACUGGCAAGCUAGAGUACAGUAGAGGGUGGUGGAAUUUCCUGUGUAGCGGUGAAAUGCGUAGAUAUAGGAAGGAACACCAGUGGCGAAGGCGACCACCUGGACUGAUACUGACACUGAGGUGCGAAAGCGUGGGGAGCAAACAGAAUUAGAAACCCUAGUAGUCC